CAUCGAUCAGAUCCCAGAAGGAGAGCAGGGUUCAACACAGAAGUGCUGGGCAGGGAAGGGGUUAAACCACAUUCCUCUGUAGUAAGCCCCCACAGCUUGUCAUAGCCAAGCCUGAGUCAGGUGUGAUGAAUAACUUUAAUGACUAUUAAUUAAGUAUCAAGUCAUUAGCAAGGAGGCUGUAGAAGCCUGGGAAGAAGAAAGGAGAAGGUUUGGGGUUUUUCCUGCAUCUCUAGAGGGUGAAAACGAAAGGAAGCAUUGCCAGCCUGGAAGAAACUAGUUUCCUAUCAAACACAUUGAAACAUCUCCUACCUACUGUUGGAUUUAAUAAACUUUACAUUUCUGGAAAGAGCUCAUCAACAAAUUCAGCCUUUUUGAAUCUCCUGGGAGCAGCGAGAGCCUCUGAAGAAGCAAUAUUUAGAUGGGAAACUUAUGUCCUCCAAGCUGGCAAGCUGCAACAGUGACACAGAUUUUUUUUUUCUUGUCGCUGCAAAACUCUCCCUGUAAAAGAUGUCCCUGAGGAUUUGAAGAACAGUGAUUUGAAGUGAUUGCAUUGG
Long non-coding RNA from Numida meleagris (helmeted guineafowl), 554 nucleotides. The record is from Ensembl. NCBI's taxonomy places the organism in Eukaryota, Metazoa, Chordata, Aves, Galliformes, Numididae.